Molecule: long non-coding RNA, 597 nt
Filed under: Monodelphis domestica (gray short-tailed opossum)
Lineage: Eukaryota; Metazoa; Chordata; Mammalia; Didelphimorphia; Didelphidae
Description: lncRNA (ENSMODG00000040434.1)
Source: RNAcentral
UUUUUUUUUUUUUUUUUUUUUUUUUUUUUUUGGGUGCGGAAUGGCGGUCAGGAGGUGCUGCUGCUUGGCUGCUUGCGGCUCACUAAUUCAUUAGCAGAGUUAGUGUUUGAUGUGUGUCUGUGUGUGUGUGUCUGUGUGUACGAGGUGAGGGGUGGGGGUGGGGAGAGGGAGGGAGGGAGGGAGAGAGAGAGGGGGAGAGAGACAGAGAGAGAGAGAGAGACAGAGAAGAGGGUGAGGGUGGAGAGGGAGACAGAAACAGAAGCAGCUACCCCUCGGAAAGAGAAAAGAGACAAGAGAUCCACACUGAGACUGAGACAGAGACAGUCAGCGAGUGACCUCCUAGGGGGAAAAAAAAUCCAGCACGCUGACCUGAACUAGGCAAAGAAGGGGUGGGGUGGGGAACCACCUUUUUUUUUUCCCUAUUGCACACACACCCUCUCCAAAAUGCAACCCCUCCCCCCUCCUGCAAAAAAAAAAGAAAGAAAAAGAAACUUAAACCACAACUAGACAAGAACCCAGCCAAUCACCACCCCACCCCGGGGGGUGGGGGGAGGGCAAAAAUAGAAAAAAAUAAAAUAAUUCCCAACUAUCCUAACA